Molecule: long non-coding RNA, 1741 nt
Organism: Oncorhynchus tshawytscha (Chinook salmon)
Lineage: Eukaryota; Metazoa; Chordata; Actinopteri; Salmoniformes; Salmonidae
Exons: 5
Source: RefSeq, a predicted model, not a curated record
UUUUCCAAUAGGGAACACUGUAAACUGAAAGAGUUGCAUACUUCUUCACCCAGCACGGUCACUGAGCUGGCAAGCUAAAGUUAGCUAGUGAGUCACAGAAAUGUACGUUCAGUCUGUUAAUUAUUUCAGUCCGAUUGGACUUAUCCUACUCAAAUCAACAUGGCUCAACAUAGUUUUUUCGUUUUUGACCUCGACAUUCUUGUUGGAUAGAUACUUUGAUAGCUAACAUGUGGGCUAAUCUCCUUUGGAUGCCUCCAUCUAGUUCCCUAGAGCAGCAGACCGGCCCUCCAUUCCCAAACCUGAAGCCCCCUGUCCCCAGCAGGAAAUACCAAGAAAAACUUCCUAUUGAGGAAAUGUAAGAUAACUAACUCAAUGUCAUAUUUAGAUUUAGAGUUACUGACAUGAACAGAAGCAUAUACAAGCAAUCAAUCAAAUGUAUAUUAUAAAGCCCCUUUUACAUCAGCAGUUGUCACCAAGUCCUUAUACAGAUACCCAGCCUAAAACCCCAAAGAGCAAGCAAUGCAGAUGCAUAAGCACAGUGGCUAGGAAAAACUCCCUAGAAAGGCAGGAACCUAGGAAGAAACCUAGAGAGGAACCGGGUUCUGGGGGGUGGCCAGUCCUGUUCUGGCUGUGCUAGUGGAGGUUAUAAAACAGUACAGUGUUUUAGGCCAGAUCGUUCUUCAAGAUCGUUCAAGGUCCUGCAGCCUUUAUUUAAUUGUUGUAGACUAAGCCCUAGAGGUUUUAUAACGUCACAGGAUUUAGCGUACUUGUCAAUCCAGAUCUGAAUAUUUGAUAUCCUUUUUACUGUACACUGUUUUUUUUCUCCUAAGCUAAUCACUGAAUGUCCUACUACAAGGAUGUGGUCAGGUUGACACACUUAUGAGCCACAAUAACACAGAUCACACACACCAGAGAUUGCGAGGGCAAGUACAAUGAUCAGUUGGGAAAUUGAAGUCUGCUGCAUGGUUGCCCCACAUACACACACACUUAAUUUAGGUUAGUGUGUAGUCAAGGCUUUAUAGUUAAAAUAAUAUAGUGUCUAUCUUUCAGAUCUGUCAACCAGGUUCGGUGGGUGACAGGUAAGCGUGUUUCCACAAAGAUGUUCCAGACCUGGAGUGGCACGCUGGAACUUCCAGAGGCUUGUAGACCUGAAGCAGUGUGAGAUCUGACACCCCUACUAGCUCAACCACAGUUCUCACAGCUGCAGUCGUCUGCUCCUGCACCUGCUACACCGGCCACGACAGGUGAUUCAGAUCUGCCACCCCCAGCAGUCCUCUGCUGUGGUAUUUAAUUUACCGGCUACACCGGUUCCUACUACAUUGGCCGCGAAGGGAGAAUCUUUUGAGGAUUCCCAGAUGGAUACAGAUCUGCCAUGCACUCCACCACUACCCCAGACAGCCUCACCCAGAAGUGCAUGCACCGGGCCUAUCACAAAGCAGAGAUGGGUGGCUGACAAGGAAAAAUAAAAUAUAACAUGCACACACACUCUCUCUCUGUUACACACACAUUAUCCCCAAUGUAAAUAAAUUGUAAUUAUUUUAUUUUAGGAUUGGAGAUAUCUUACGCCUACAUAUCCAUUAUCAAUAGCUACAUAAUUACUCUAUCCAAUCAAAGUGUGAUUGAUAAUAUCCCACCCCACAAAAGUACGUGAAUAUGUAAAUACAUAGUAAUAACUCGUUUAUUUUAUGUUUGCUCCAUUUUAUUUGAGGAAAAUGUCUGCAAUAAAGUACAUUCACAUAAA